CAGUAGCCGCGGGAAAACGAAGGGGGCUAGCGUUGCUCGGAAUGACUGGGCGUAAAGGGCGCGUAGGCGGCGGCCAAAGUCAGACGUGAAAUUCCUGGGCUCAACCUGGGGGCUGCGUUUGAUACUUGGUUGCUUGAGUGGGGAAGAGGGUCGUGGAAUUCCCAGUGUAGAGGUGAAAUUCGUAGAUAUUGGGAAGAACACCGGUGGCGAAGGCGGCGACCUGGUCCUUGACUGACGCUGAGGCGCGAAAGCGUGGGGAGCAAACAGGAUUAGAGACCCGAGUAGUCCCUGUCUCUUAUAC
Molecule: ribosomal RNA, 301 nt
Filed under: uncultured bacterium
Lineage: Bacteria
Description: partial 16S ribosomal RNA
Rfam family: Bacterial small subunit ribosomal RNA
Source: RNAcentral